CACGGGGAAAUAACUCUUAACUAUAAACCUUUCGUACCGACGGUUACUUGCAACGGUUGCUUGAUAGCAUAAUCGAGUGCACACACUAUUGUUUUCUACGAAUACAAGAAGAAACCACAUGAAAUUAGUCCCAAAUUACAGCUAAAAAUUCUCUAAACAGUUCUGCAUAUGAUUCCUAAAACAUUUGUUGAUAUAAAGUGUAUACAUCAAUAAUUUUCAAAAGUUAAAUGACGGCUCCCACUUCGUACUACGGUUGGUACGGUAGCAAAUCUGGAAACCUCUAGUGUG
This 288-nucleotide long non-coding RNA is filed under the name Mytilus galloprovincialis (Mediterranean mussel). Lineage: Eukaryota; Metazoa; Mollusca; Bivalvia; Mytilida; Mytilidae. The record is from RNAcentral.